AGGGGAGCCGGAGGGAAACCGAGUCUUAAUUGGGCGUUAAGUUGCAGGGUAUAGACCCGAAACCCGGUGAUCUAGCCAUGGGCAGGUUGAAGGUUGGGUAACACUAACUGGAGGACCGAACCGACUAAUGUUGAAAAAUUAGCGGAUGACCUGUGGCUGGGGGUGAAAGGCCAAUCAAACCGGGAGAUAGCUGGUUCUCCCCGAAAGCUAUUUAGGUAGCGCCUCGUGAAUUCAUCUCCGGGGGUAGAGCACUGUUUCGGCUAGGGGGCCAUCCCGGCUUACCAACCCGAUGCAAACUGCGAAUACCGGAGAAUGUUAUCACGGGAGACACACGGCGGGUGCUAACGUCCGUCGUGAAGAGGGAAACAACCCAGACCGCCAGCUAAGGUCCCAAAGUCAUGGUUAAGUGGGAAACGAUGUGGGAAGGCCCAGACAGCCAGGAUGUUGGCUUAGAAGCAGCCAUCAUUUAAAGAAAGCGUAAUAGCUCACUGGUCGAGUCGGCCUGCGCGGAAGAUGUAACGGGGCUAAACCAUGCACCGAAGCUGCGGCAGCGACGCUUAUGCGUUGUUGGGUAGGGGAGCG
RNAcentral lists this ribosomal RNA (582 nucleotides) under Salmonella enterica. RNAcentral describes it as "partial 23S ribosomal RNA". It matches the Rfam family "Bacterial large subunit ribosomal RNA", at positions 659 to 1238 of the family's 2925-position model. Lineage: Bacteria; Pseudomonadati; Pseudomonadota; Gammaproteobacteria; Enterobacterales; Enterobacteriaceae. The record is from RNAcentral.